AGUGAACGCUGGCGGUAGGCCUAACACAUGCAAGUCGAACGGUAGCACAGUAAGAGCUUGCUCUUACGGGUGGCGAGUGGCGGACGGGUGAGGAAUACAUCGGAAUCUACUUUUUCGUGGGGGAUAACGUAGGGAAACUUACGCUGAUACCGCAUACGACCUACGGGUGAAAGCAGGGGAUCUUCGGACCUUGCGCGAUUGAAUGAGCCGAUGUCGGAUUAGCUAGUUGGCGGGGUAAAGGCCCACCAAGGCGACGAUCCGUAGCUGGUCUGAGAGGAUGAUCAGCCACACUGGAACUGAGACACGGUCCAGACUCCUACGGGAGGCAGCAGUGGGGAAUAUUGGACAAUGGGCGCAAGCCUGAUCCAGCCAUACCGCGUGGGUGAAGAAGGCCUUCGGGUUGUAAAGCCCUUUUGUUGGGAAAGAAAAGCAGCAGGUUAAUACCCCGCUGUUCUGACGGUACCCAAAGAAUAAGCACCGGCUAACUUCGUG
This 492-nucleotide ribosomal RNA is filed under the name uncultured bacterium. RNAcentral's name for it is "partial 16S ribosomal RNA". It matches the Rfam family "Bacterial small subunit ribosomal RNA", at positions 29 to 507 of the family's 1533-position model. The record is from RNAcentral.